This is a long non-coding RNA of Bubalus bubalis (water buffalo), 4842 nucleotides long. RefSeq lists it as uncharacterized. The record is from RefSeq and is a predicted model, not a curated record. The transcript is spliced from 4 exons. Lineage: Eukaryota; Metazoa; Chordata; Mammalia; Artiodactyla; Bovidae.
GUCCUUUCCUAUUUUUUUUUUAAGUCGGCUGCCAGAAUCCACCCAUUCUUUAAAAUGUAUUUAUCUGAAGUAUGAACUUUGCAUAUACGGGAAGGAGGCAGGGUUCUCAAAAUGUCCUGUCUACUUUUUUAGUCUAAUAUGCUGAACUACAAAUUUAAUCCACUGAAGUGGUUUCAUGCAAACACUUCUCUCAAUCUCCUUUUGUACAAAAUCUUGAUGCAUAAUGUAUAGAGUCUGAAAAUGGAUUAAGCUACAUUUGGAAAUGGUUUGAGUUUUUUUUUUUUUUUAAGCAAGCAAAAACCAGCAGGUUUUUUGUUGUUGCCUUUUUUAACCCUUCUUGCUCAAAGCAGUCACAUGGAUUGUGUCUUCUCAAAGCUGCCUUCUACACAAUGUUUCUUAUCUGUUUUUUUUUCUGUCAAAAAGCUUGAAAUGUAAAACAUUUUAAUUAGAAACGUAAAGAGUGAAUUGGAUUCAUUUCCCUCAGAUUUCCCAACUAAAACAAGCAAAUAGAAUGGUAAAACCUUCUGAUUUACUCCUGGAAGAUAAUUCAGCAGCUGAAUAAGCAAGUGAGUGAAAUCUUACUGAAUAAAGUGUUCCCUGGUACUCCAGGAUCGUCAUUAUCCAGAGGACCGUGGCCACAGAUAGAAUGCCAGUCUCUGUGUUAUGUAGUAAAUGCUCAGACACACAUUUCCUCCAGUGUCAAUCAAAGCCUAAAAGAUGAAAAAGGAGAUGGCCAAGGGACUGCCAAGGUCUCCAAAGGAAUCACAGAGACUUGGCUACAAUCCCAGGUUUCAGUGGAUCAGUACGUUUAUAAUGCCGUAUUUCAUGAUUGCUAAUUUUUACAUAACAUUUGAAUACUAUGUAAAUUGUACUGGAAAGAGAAUUGCGGCUAAAAUCAGAAGAUCUGGACUUAAGCCUUAGGUCUGACCCUACACGGUCAUGUGACUUUUUAAAAAUUUAUUUAUUUUUGGCUGCACCAAAUCUUUGUUGCUGCAUGUGGGUUUUCUCCAGUUGCAGCACACGGGCUUCUCAUUGCAGCGGCUUCCCUCAUUAAGAAGCAUGAGCGUGCAGGUCAGUAGCUGCAACAUACAGGCUUAGUUGCCUCACGGCAUGUGGAAUCUUCCAGACCAGGUAUCGAACCCGGCAGGUCCAGAUUCACUGGACCACCAGGGAACUCCCACUGUCCCCAUGUGACUUCAAACUCGCUUGUUCCCGCUGGUUUCAGGUUCAUCAUCUGCCAAGUAAGGACAGCCAUCCUCCCUGCAGCUACUCAUGCAUAUCCAGGGCCUCCGGAAGAACAGGGCUGUCACUUUAGGAAGUCUCGCUCAGCCUUCGUUAUGAAACUCCUGAAUUACAGCCACCUCCUGGAGCCAGAGGGAAAGGCUUCGGAUCAUCAGAAAAGGACCCGUCCUCGAGAGCUCUUUGUGAAAUCAGAAGCCUCAUCCCAGGAAGGAGAAAACCUGCAUCAUAAGGGGAUGAACAAGGGUGCUAAUGCUCUCAGAGAGGAGACAAACAAGCAGAUAAAGAAGGCAUUUGGCAGGAGAGAUGAUUGAUGAUGUCUGUCUGCACAACCACAGACGUUCUUGGAUGAGCUACUCCACUGAGGCUCCACCUCAACACUUGUGGAGAGACAUGAGUGAAUAGACGGGUUCCCUGGUGGCUCAGAUGGUGAAGAAUCUGCCUGCGAUGCAGGAGACCCAUGUUUGAUCCCCAAAUAAGGAAGAUCCCCUGGAGAAGGGAAUGGCAACCCACUCUAGCAUUCUUGCCUGGGAAAUCAUAUGGACAGAGGAGCCUGGUGGGUUACAGUCCAUGGGGUCACAAAGAGUUGGACACGACUAAGUGGCUAACACUUUCACAGGUGAAUAAAUUAGGUUCCCUAAUCCCUUAUAGAGGGAGCCAGAGAUGACACCAGUAUUCACAAUGUUCUCCAUUACAAUUGAGGUAACUGUUAUAAAGGAAAACCAUAGCACACUGUCUGAUGGGAGUAUGGGUGGCAUUUCUUGGGCUGCAAGUUCAUGAAACACUUCCCAAAAGAAAAGCCAUUCCUGCUGAAUCCUAGAGGCUGAGCACAAGUUAGCUUGAAGGAACAGCAUGAGCAAAGGCCCUGAGGUAGGACGGAGCUUAAGCCUCUGGGAUAUUAUUAUCCCCACUUUACACAUGAAGCAAUAGAGACUUAGGGAGAUUAGACAGCUUCCCAAAGUUUUGCAGAACGGAGGGCAGUGUGAGCCCAAAGAUAACUUCCUGCCAUGUAAUCCAAUAUAAUCCAGCCUCUCUGGAAGACAGAGACAAAGAUACUCACAGGCUUUGAAAAUAAUUGUCAAAAGACCCUCUCAUGUCCUUUAAGACUACCCCCACCCCCUCCUGCAGGAGCUGAGGACAGAUUUUCAUUUUGUCACUCUACUGGGCUCAAGACUAAAUUAAAUGACAAACCUGCUAUUUCAGACGCAAAAGUCCUGGAUGCUUUGGGGGUAAUGAAACCAUCUUCCCUCCUCCCCAGGGCCUCUAGUACCAUUAUGGUGCAGUCCCAAGCUAUCAAUGAUAGUGAAAAAAUGGGGCUUUGCAGUAGAGGAAAGAGGCUAUUCAAACCGCUCCUGAUUUCUAUAAAAGAGAGAUCUUUUGAUCUUUGAAACAGCCAAAAGGGCAGUUUGAUCUUCGUUAAGCUCAUUUAUUUUAGAUUCUUGCAAAUUUCUUUUCUGUAGGUUUACUUCCUUAGAAAACUCAAUAUUCAAUUGAACAGUGACUUUUAUAUAUUGAAAUGCAAUAUUGAAUAGCUGAAGCCUAAUAAAUGCCAUCCUGGCUGUAUAGGAUAUUUUAAAAAUCUUAAAAGGGCCGAUUGAGCCCGAUCCAGGCAAAGAUGACAAAGCGAAUUCAAUGCUUCUUUUGAAAAUGAGUCAUGGUCAGAAAUACUCACUUUGACCAAAAGCAUUUCUUUGAAUGCCAGAGGUAAAUUUGCUCACUUUCAUUUUCUGCCUGGGUUUCAAGUCAGCACUGCAGAACUGAACAAAAUCGACUCCAAGAGGCCCUGGCAGCUGUUCCAGAUGUAAAUGUGAGCAGGAUAGUAGGGCUGGGCCUGUUCCCUUCAGUGUGUUAUUUUCAAAUUAUGCAGAUGAUAUUCAGAUAGGGAUUGAUCAGACUUUGUCUGUUUUUUCAGGGAGAAGUCAAUCAUUGCUAUUCUCCACUGCCUUCACAUUCCGCAGGACCACCCUUUCCGUUACUUAGAAAAAGGAUGUUUUAUUAUCACAAGCCUCCAAAUUGCUGGCAAAAGGGAGACUCUGACAUAUGUUGCCAGUCGUGGGGGGCUCAGGGGAGGACAGGCACAGCAGACUCAAUCGAUUAGCCAAAAGGAACAGGCUUUGAUGUCAGGGAACCUUUCCAAACUUCAUUUAAGACUCAAACAAUCUGUGGGAAAUCAAAGUUCUCAACCAGGACCUCUGCCCUACUCCUGCAGCCGAGGCUGGAGGAACUUAUGUUUUAACUAUUUGUAGAUGAUUACUCAGUUUGGGAAUGUGUUCCUCUUGUGGCUCUUUCUACAUGAGGCUCUUUAAGAAGUUGAAUCGUUUUGUUCUCUACUUCCUGUCACAUGUACCUUAGCCCUCUUGCAUAUAUGUCUUAAGAAAAUGCAGAUUAGCACUGCCUAAGAGUUGUUGUUUUUUUGUCUCAGCCCUCUCCUCCAUGUGACCUCUGAAGAAGAUCUGAUUGUGUAAACUAGUACAGGAAUGCCGUCUGUUUUGCACACUCUCAGUAUCAGCUGAAAAGUAGGUUGCACUUGGGAAAGGAACUAGGGCCAAGAGAUCUAGGGCCAAGGAACUAGGGCCCAUGGAGGAGAAAUGGUACCCAUUUGUAAGAAGAUGGUGGAGAAAAGGAAGUCAGAAAGACAUGGAAGAAUUUGGGUCCUACUCUCAGCGAAGUCAAGAGGAGGAACCAAAGGUAGUGUCAGUUUAGAAAUCACAGUUUGGAUUUUGAAUAAAUUUGAAUUUACAUGGUUCUCUGUAUAUCCCAGCAGAAAUGUCAAAUCUUAGGUACUGCCUAUGAGCCUGGAUUACUUUGGUAUUUAGAGGCAGAUGUUUCUUCUCUGAACAAGAACAUGAAAAGCUUCCAGAAAGGGAUUCCUUAGCCCCAGCCCGGUCUGCACUGGUUAGACCACACCGAGGAUACCAUAGCCCUGUCAGUGUGGAUAUGCAAUUCUAUCACUUGAGCACCCUGAGUUCUUCACAUUGGUUUCUAAUAUAGACUGACUAAUUGGAGUUUCUACAGACAAGAGUGGUCAAGAGUGGUCCACGCCUGGGCGGCAGUUAAUGCCCUAGAUGUUUAGCCCCCAAAAGAGUGACUUAAAGAAGAUGUGAUAGCACUGAAGAUCUGUCGCGUGAAUAGAGACUUGAUGAGUCCCUUUUGCUCUAGAAGAGAGGUUCCAUGGGGGUUCCAGGGAGUGGGGAGAUAAUCACAAUUACAGAAAUGCCGAAGAAUGCUUUACUCAAGGAGUGAGUUCCUUGUCGUGGAAGACACUCAGCCAAAAGCUGGGAGGGAGGUUGCGUCAGUAGAAAAAGGAACUGCCACAUUCUUGGAUAAUAUCAGAACUGGAAGUGACCCUCAGUGACACACAGUUCAAGAGUCUUUAAGGUGUAAGGAAACCUUGACAAUCUCCCUUAAGGCUUGUUUCCCUACCAGCAAGUACAGUCUUUCCUUGUGGGGUUAGGAUUUCAAGAACAUUCUCUGGGAACAGACUUAGGGAUACAGUGGGGGAAGGAGAGAGUGGGAUGAAUUGAGACAGUAGCCUUGAAAUAUAUACAUUCCCAUAUGUAAAAUAGCUAGCUAGUGGGAAGUUGGCAUAUAGUGCCACCGGGA